Molecule: ribosomal RNA, 499 nt
Filed under: uncultured bacterium
Lineage: Bacteria
Description: partial 16S ribosomal RNA
Rfam family: Bacterial small subunit ribosomal RNA
Source: RNAcentral
GACGAACGCUGGCGGCGUGCCUAAUACAUGCAAGUCGAGCGGACUGAAUGGGAGCUUGCUCUUGUUCGGCCAGCGGCGGACGGGUGAGUAACACGUGGGCAACCUGCCCGCAAGACCGGGAUAACUCCGGGAAACCGGAGCUAAUACCGGAUAACACCGAAGACCGCAUGGUCUUUGGUUGAAAGGCGGCGCAAGCUGCCACUUGCGGAUGGGCCCGCGGCGCAUUAGCUAGUUGGUGAGGUAACGGCUCACCAAGGCGACGAUGCGUAGCCGGCCUGAGAGGGUGACCGGCCACACUGGGACUGAGACACGGCCCAGACUCCUACGGGAGGCAGCAGUAGGGAAUCUUCCGCAAUGGGCGAAAGCCUGACGGAGCGACGCCGCGUGAGCGAAGAAGGCCUUCGGGUCGUAAAGCUCUGUUGUGAGGGACGAAGGAGCGCCGUUUGAAGAAGGCGGCGCGGUGACGGUACCUCACGAGGAAGCCCCGGCUAACUACGUG